CUGGCUCAGGAUGAACGCUGGCGGCGUGCUUAACACAUGCAAGUCGAACGAAGCAGUUUAUCACGAUCCCUUCGGGGUGACGAUUUAC
This 88-nucleotide ribosomal RNA is filed under the name Pseudobutyrivibrio sp. ACV-2. RNAcentral's name for it is "16S rRNA. Bacterial SSU". Lineage: Bacteria; Bacillati; Bacillota; Clostridia; Lachnospirales; Lachnospiraceae. The record is from RNAcentral.